RNAcentral lists this ribosomal RNA (855 nucleotides) under uncultured bacterium. Its description in RNAcentral is "bacterial SSU rRNA". It matches the Rfam family "Bacterial small subunit ribosomal RNA", at positions 94 to 954 of the family's 1533-position model. The record is from RNAcentral.
CGUGGCGAACGGGUGCGUAACACGUGGAUAACCUUCCUUCAGGUGGGGAAUAACCCCGCGAAAGCGGGGCUAAUACCGCAUAACAUGACGGCGGCACAUGCCGUUGUCCUCAAAGCCGCAAGGCGCCAGAAGAGGGAUCCGCGGCCGAUUAGCUUGUUGGCGAGGUAAUGGCUCACCAAGGCAAUGAUCGGUAGCCGGUCUGAGAGGAUGAUCGGCCACACUGGAACUGAGACACGGUCCAGACUCCUACGGGAGGCAGCAGUGGGGAAUCUUGCGCAAUGGGCGAAAGCCUGACGCAGCAACGCCGCGUGGGGGAUGAAGCUUCUCGGAGUGUAAACCCCUUUCGACCCGGACGAAUGCCCGCAAGGGUUUGACGGUACGGGUAUAAGAAGCCCCGGCUAACUACGUGCCAGCAGCCGCGGUAAAACGUAGGGGGCCAGCGUUGCUCGGAAUUACUGGGCGUAAAGGGUCCGUAGGCGGUGUGGCAAGUCGGAAGUGAAAUCUCUGGGCUUAACUCAGAGGCUGCUUCCGAAACUGCUGUGCUUGAGUGCGAGAGAGGCGAGUGGAAUUGCGGGUGUAGCGGUGAAAUGCGUAGAUAUCCGCAGGAACAUCCGAGGCGAAAGCGGCUCGCUGGAUCGCAACUGACGCUGAGGGACGAAAGCUAGGGGAGCAAACAGGAUUAGAUACCCUGGUAGUCCUAGCCCUAAACCAUCAGGACUUGGGGUUUGCCCUGUACGGGGCAAGUCCCGUAGCUAACGCGUUAAGUCCUGCGCCUGGGGAGUACGGUCGCAAGGCUGAAACUCAAAGGAAUUGACGGGGGCCCGCACAAGCGGUGGAACAUGUGGUUCAAUUCGA